GUGAUCUUCGGUUUUCUGAGGACAGAAUUCCCAUUACAGAGGGCUUCAUGGUCACGUAUCCAUUCCUGCUCUCACUUUGUUCAGGUUGCAGCAUG
This is a long non-coding RNA of Sinocyclocheilus rhinocerous, 95 nucleotides long. RefSeq lists it as uncharacterized. The transcript has 3 exons. The record is from RefSeq and is a predicted model, not a curated record. NCBI's taxonomy places the organism in Eukaryota, Metazoa, Chordata, Actinopteri, Cypriniformes, Cyprinidae.